RNAcentral lists this ribosomal RNA (519 nucleotides) under uncultured bacterium. Its description in RNAcentral is "partial 16S ribosomal RNA". It matches the Rfam family "Bacterial small subunit ribosomal RNA", at positions 355 to 864 of the family's 1533-position model. The record is from RNAcentral.
UGGGGAAUAUUGCACAAUGGGCGCAAGCCUGAUGCAGCCAUGCCGCGUGUGUGAAGAAGGCCUUCGGGUUGUAAAGCACUUUCAGCGAGGAGGAAGGUGGUGAGCUUAAUACGCUCAUCAAUUGACGUUACUCGCAGAAGAAGCACCGGCUAACUCCGUGCCAGCAGCCGCGGUAAUACGGAGGGUGCAGGCGUUAAUCGGAAUUACUGGGCGUAAAGCGCACGCAGGCGGUUUGUUAAGUCAGAUGUGAAAUCCCCGGGCUCAACCUGGGAACUGCAUUUGAAACUGGCAAGCUAGAGUCUCGUAGAGGGGGGUAGAAUUCCAGGUGUAGCGGUGAAAUGCGUAGAGAUCUGGAGGAAUACCGGUGGCGAAGGCGGCCCCCUGGACGAAGACUGACGCUCAGGUGCGAAAGCGUGGGGCAGCAAACAGGAUUAGAUACCCUGGUAGUCCACGCUGUAAACGAUGUCGAUUUUGGAGGUUGUGCCCUUGAGGCGUGGCUUCCGGAGCUAACGCGUUAAA